UGAGGAAUAUUGGGCAAUGCCCGCAAGGGUGACCCAGCAACGCCGCGUGGAGGAUGAAUGUCGUAAGAUUGUAAACUCCUGUUAGAGGGGAAGAAUAGUACCGGUUGGACCGGUAUAUGACUGUACCCUCAGAGAAAGCCCCGGCUAACUACGUGCCAGCAGCCGCGGUAAUACGUAGGGGGCAAGCGUUGUCCGGAUUUACUGGGGGUAAAGGGGGCGCAGGCGGGAUAAAAAGUCAGUGGUGAAAUCCUACAGCUUAACUGUAGAACUGCCUUUGAUACUUUUAUUCUGGAGUUCGGGAGAGAGAGACGGAAUUCCAGGUGUAGUGGUGAAAUACGUAGAUAUCUGGAAUAACACCAGUUGCGAAGGCGGUCUCUUGGUCCGACACUGACGCUGAGGCGCGAAAGCGUGGGGAGCAAACA
This 422-nucleotide ribosomal RNA is filed under the name uncultured bacterium. RNAcentral's name for it is "bacterial SSU rRNA". It matches the Rfam family "Bacterial small subunit ribosomal RNA", at positions 355 to 774 of the family's 1533-position model. The record is from RNAcentral.